GGAGUUUGGGCCGUGUCUCAGUCCCAAUGUGGCCGUUCACCCUCUCAGGCCGGCUACUGAUCGUCGCCUUGGUGGGCCGUUACCUCACCAACUAGCUAAUCAGACGCGGGUCCAUCCUGUACCACCGGAGUUUUUCCCCCUUGACCAUGCGGUCAUGUGGGCUUAUGCGGUAUUAGCAGUCGUUUCCGACUGUUAUCCCCCGGUACAGGGCAGGUUACCCACGCGUUACUCACCCGUCCGCCACUAAGCUUUCUCAAGUGCAAGCACUCGAUAGGCUCCGUUCGACUUGCAUGUGUUAAGCACGCCGCCAGCGUUCAUC
This 319-nucleotide ribosomal RNA is filed under the name uncultured Coprococcus sp. RNAcentral describes it as "partial 16S ribosomal RNA". Lineage: Bacteria; Bacillati; Bacillota; Clostridia; Lachnospirales; Lachnospiraceae. The record is from RNAcentral.